Long non-coding RNA from Canis lupus familiaris (dog), 4999 nucleotides. RefSeq lists it as uncharacterized. The record is from RefSeq and is a predicted model, not a curated record. Lineage: Eukaryota; Metazoa; Chordata; Mammalia; Carnivora; Canidae. The transcript is spliced from 8 exons.
UACAGCUUAUGCUGUUACCACAGCCUCCUCUUCCCAGGAGCUGCUUUCCUGAGAGAAGGGCACUCUGAGCCUGGCUGGAUAAGCAACAAACGCUGCCUCUGCACCCUAGAGUCCUGGCAGCCUGGUCUCCAUGCCCCCAUCCACCUCUUUUCCUUUUCGAGCAGAGAUGAAGAGCUCAAGCAGUAUGAGGAUAGGGGAGGGAGCCGCCAGGUCCCCCUCGCCCGCUGCCUCUGCUGCCUGUAGCUUUAGCCAGUACCCUAGACCUGCGGUCUUUGGCCAAGUGGACAGCAACCUGGGAUUGCCUUCCUCCGCCCGAUGGCUGUCAGAGGCCACUGGGAUGCCAAUAGAAUACGCAAGCCUUAGUUUCUCGGAAAAGCGUGCUCAAAUAUUUUUAGAUUCAAGGGAUUCCUAAAUCAGAAAACCUUGGAACCAGGAUUGCAGCCCGGGGUUCCCAUUUCUGCGAUCCUGGCCCCAGGGCCCGCGCUUGACCACCGCCGCGGCGGCUCCGGCUUAGGAGGCUGGUCAAUCUCAGACUUCCAAGACCCGGUUCUAGAGAAGCGGCUGUGUGCUCGGGAGCCCCGCGACAGCAACCGUACCCCGGAGAAGCCGCGGGAAUGUCUUUAUUGGAUGUUUGCGAAGAGCAUUUGGGGUUUCUGUCUGGCAAAGGCAGAUGUCACUACUGAGCUCCAAGAAUGUGGUCCUCUGCAGCAGAGCCAUCGGAUACCCAGCCGGCACUAAGCUCUCCAGGUCUCAGCCAGUCAUGGAGACUAAAUCCUCACAAAUCAUCUGGGAGGUGUGGACGAGAGAAGCAAGGCCCAGGGAAGCUGACUCACCCAAGACUUGGGAGACAAGGAGACCACACCCUCAAGAGAUGGGGUGACUUGCCUAGCCCCUCAUCCCCUCCGCAUUCCUCAGACCACAGAGCCAGAGAACCUGCCAGGUUUCGAGCGGACAAGAUGCCAAGCAUCACUGUGACUCGCACUGGGCUUGACCCUCAGCUCUAGGGCUCACUCCAUGGGACGACUGGAGGCAGGAGCUUCCCCGGGAGGGAGCUGUUCUGCAUGCACACAGGUCUACGGUCUUUGAACUGCCCUGAGCCUGGGGACUAUUGGUAGCCAAAGUGCUGAGCCAACCUGCCAGUUCUGACUCCACCUCUCCUCCAGAUGGGGUACCUGCCACAAGGCCCCCACAGGCUCAGGAAGUCCAGCUAUGGGACUGGCUGCUGCAGACCACACAGGCCGCCAGGAAGGACUAGGGAAGGGAUUCUUGGUUCACAAGAGCCACAUCACAGACGACACUGAAGUUCCCCCAGUGCUCCUGAGCCCCCACAUAAUGGAUGGGGCAUCACCAGGCAUCCCCAUUACCGGAGGAAGAGGUUCCAUGUGCCCUCAUCUCCCCAACACUGAUGCCAAGGACUUCCAGUCAAAUUCUGGCUCUACCCAGUCCAAGCUGUGUCACAUCGGGUAAGGUAACCCUUUUCAUCUUUUGGGCUGUUUUUGCUUUGAGUGGAAUUAAUGACAGUGCUCACCUGGUGGUGGUGUUGAGAGAUAAUGCAGAUUGAGGUUUAGCACAGUACAUGGGACUGAAGCAAUACCCAUAUAUGGUAGCUUGAAAAACACAAACUGGCUGGUCUUUUAAGCUCAUAAAUCUAAGGAGAGUUUAAUCAAAACCCCAAACUUCCUAUUCCCUUUAUACCACCCCUCCAGAGACAGGCCGUCCCUGAAUGUCAAACUGAGCUGAGAGAGUGUAGGUAUCCAUAAAUACCGUGACCACAGUGACCAAGGACAGGAUAUCCAGAGGCUAGAGGUGGUUUCCCCGAGGCCAGGGUUUCACCUUUAGGGGGCUUGACGGUUGGCCCUGGGGCCAAUGGGCCAGCGGGAGGGGGCAUGAGGCUGCAGUCAUUUUCCACAUGCUGGGCCUUGGCUGAGAGAAAGUGUUCCCACUGCUCUUUACCAACAUGUUUGCAUUUAUAUUGUUUUAAUUCCAACAUGACUUUUAUGCCGGAGACACUGGAUGCCACAAACAAGCUGUUUUAUUUCCCCUCCUAAAACCCACUGUGAUUUACAGGCCGGCUCUGGUGUAAUCCCAAUCUUUACUCAUGAAAGACAGGGCAGCUGUUUACAUGGCUCUGUGGGGCAAGGUCUGCCUGACAGAUGUGGGGAUGGUGGCUGGUGCACAUGUGCUUGCCUUUGGCACUCUGCCCUCUUAAAAGCUUUCAAUUGAUUGUUUUUAAAAACUUUUUACUCCAUGAAAAACGUAGAGAAUUACUUUUAUGCUUCAAUUAAAAGUUUCCCAAUAGCCAUAUGAAAGAAUAUGAAAUUAUUACCUCCAAUAAAGGCUCCUAUUGCUUCUUUCUUCGGAAGCACCUUUCAUCAGAGCAGAUCAAAGUGCAUCCGAAGCACUAAUUGAGCCUCGGAGCCAUCUGUGAGGAAGGGCAGUCCCCAGAGCCUCACUCACUGAUAAGGCAGGACAGAGAGGCUAACCUGGUUAGCUGGGGUCACACAGCAGCACAGUGCCAAAGGGGAGAUGGGGGAAGCAGGAAGCUGGCUACUUGCGCUCUGGUUCACAAGCACUUUGUCCAAAAUGGUUUUGAAUGGACUCUGGCACCUAUUACAAAUCUCAAUAGUUCUGGGGGAAAGUGUAAGCCGGGCGGUGCUUGCUGGGUUGCUUCUUUGCCACGUGUCCUGACAGGACAAGGAGCCAACCAAGGAGCUUCCAAUGCUCUAUCUCCUUUCACUUUUAAGAGGCAUUUAAAUAGUGUUUUAAAGUUACAUUCCACAUCGGCCUUUGGCAAAAGAACAGAAUAUGAAACCGUAGUGACUGGAAGCACGGAUGACAAACCGAUGGGUGGGCAUCCCUCACUUUGGCAGUAAAGUGGCACUCGGCAUACAGGGCAGGGAGAGCGUAGGCACGCGUGAGGGAGGGGUGCUGGCAUGAGCUUUCCUCGAGGGUUCCUCUCCUCCCACACAUAUGUGGGAAUGUGGCAGCUGCCUUUUGCUAGUAAGGCAGAGGACAGAGCUCACUGUACUGGCACCGAGGACCACAAAAGUAGGACCCGGUACUGGAUGGCUUGGCUGCUCAGAACUACAGGAGUGGGGAGGGGAGACACCCAGCGCCUGGGAGCAUCUGCCGCUGAUAGAGGUGGCCAGUGACAGAGGCUCUAGCCACAGCUCUUCCCCCUUUCAGUCCUCUGGUAAGUAAGUCCUGGCAGCACUACACAAUGUCUGCAGGCCACAGAAAGCCCUGGGGCCCAGUGGCCAUGCCUGUCCGCCCAUGGGAAGGGCCUCCUGGGUGCAGUGUCAAAGCUCUGCUUGAGCAGACCCUCCCUGGGUCAUAGGACAGGAAGCCUGCCCAGGGCCAGCUCUGUGACUGCAGGUGUGGAAACUCAGUGACAGCAGCGUUCAGGAAGGCAGUUACAAAGCUUGGCCAAGACGGUAAGAGCAAGCUCCACUCUAUCUUCCCCAUGGGUUCAGAAGGGAAGUGCUUUGAAAAGAGGAGCUUGCUAUAAAUGCAAGGAAGGGGUUUGAGGACUGAUCCUCAGGCUCACUGGGUACAGCCUGUGGUGUCAAGGAAAGUCACUGUGCUGUCACCUAAAGCCCGGCCUAAUCCUGAGGGACUGACCCAAGGAGCCGUGCGCUCUGGAUGGGAUGCCCCAGGUACAGCCACGGCCAGUACAGAGAGCCCCAGGUUGUGGCCGUUCUCAAGCCCAAGAUAUCCCCACUGCAGCCAGUUUUCCAUCAUCUUGGGGCCCGGUCCAGACUGCGAGCUUUCUGGAGGUAUGCAGCAUAGACUGCAGCAGGGAGGACCCUGUGAUGGGAGAGGCAGUGGGUCACAGCCUCUUCCACAUGCCAUGGAGCUCCCAAGGCCCUCUCCUCUCUCUGAGCAUACACCCAGAGGGGGCUGGGCCCAGCCCUGUUUGGUACUUAAGUGCCUGCUCAGGCCCAUCCCUCACAGUGAAACAGCAGGACAGAGAGGCAGAGAGCACAGGGGUGGGGAAAGUGAAGGAUGCCUGGGAAAACAAAGGUAAGAGGCAGAGGGCUUUGCUCAGAGAAUGCUGGGGUUCUGGAGGCGGGGGGAGCACCUCUUGUGACAAGCAUCCCCGCAUUCAUACCUCCCCUAUCCUCCCCACAUGUGUCUCUGUGUCCUGAAACUUCACUAUCUAAGCCAGCAUCUCUGAUGGCCCUAGUACACCCCGAGGUCACUUUCAGACAUUCGUGUUUGUAUUAUUCCUUAUCUCUGGCUUUGGGUCUUCUCGACUAAAGCAAGGGGGUUGGAAGCAACCUCCAGACCUCCACGAUGAUGGGCUCAAUAUGCCACUGAGCACAGGCCGUGUGCACUUACCUUCCACUGCCAAUGGAUGGAAACGCGAUGGACUUGAGCUUCUUGUCAUCUGCCAGGGCCAAGCAGUUCUUCACCGUCUUUUCCAGAAGUUCCUCACACUUGUCUGCACCCCACACCGGACUGUUACAGUGGAUCACAAACUUGGCAGGCAGGCCAUGGCCUGCGCUGACAGCAGCUGGAGGGGACGAGACAGGAAUAGUGAGUUCUGUCCCUCUGCAAGGCACAGGGCCCCAGAUGCCCAAUGCAGACCCCUCCAGCUGUAGCACAUCUCCUGGGCUCCCCUGUAUCUUGCACCUGCCUGCUGGUUGUGCUUCUGAGGUCAGCUCCAAGUGCAAAUUGUUGCUCCAUGGCUAGUCUUCUCAGGGGAAACACCGGGCCAAGACCCACCGCUUGGAGAGCUGGCAUGAGGACACGUCACUGACAGGAACUUUAGCCACGAUUAUAGGGAUCCCCCUCUGUAUCCUCCUGGAGGCAGACCCUUUGCAGCCUCAGAUUUACCUUUUGGGGUCUCCAAGCCCCAUUUCUCCAGUGGACUCCUGUACAGAUAGUUCCUAAUUAUCUCCAGUUAAUGAACCUUGAAGCAACAAGGCUGGCAGCUCCUCUUCUCCCUCACUGAUCCCCCUUAGCAGCGACAGAAAUAAACCGUUCUUCCACAAUA